GGUCCCGGUGGUGGGGUGCACAUUUUUAUUCUUACUUAUUCUUACUUAAGAAUAAAAAUGUGCACCCCACCACCGGGACC
Molecule: non-coding RNA, 80 nt
Organism: Podarcis lilfordi (Lilford's wall lizard)
Lineage: Eukaryota; Metazoa; Chordata; Lepidosauria; Squamata; Lacertidae
Source: the annotation of a GenBank genome assembly